ACACUCCUGCGGGAGGCAGCAGUGGGGAAUUUUGGACAAUGGGCGAAAGCCUGAUCCAGCAAUGCCGCGUGAGUGAAGAAGGCCUUCGGGUUGUAAAGCUCUUUUGUCAGGGAAGAAACGGUGAAAGCUAAUAUCUUUUGCUAAUGACGGUACCUGAAGAAUAAGCACCUGCUAACUACGUGCCAGCAGCCGCGGUAAUACGUAGGGUGCAAGCGUUAAUCGGAAUUACUGGGCGUAAAGCGUGCGCAGGCGGUUUUGUAAGUCUGAUGUGAAAUCCCCGGGCUCAACCUGGGAAUUGCAUUGGAGACUGCAAGGCUAGAAUCUGGCAGAGGGGGGUAGAAUUCCACGUGUAGCAGUGAAAUGCGUAGAUAUGUGGAGGAACACCGAUGGCGAAGGCAGCCCCCUGGGUCAAGAUUGACGCUCAUGCACGAAAGCGUGGGGAGCAAACAGGAUUAGAAACCCCGGUAGUCCCAUGA
This 476-nucleotide ribosomal RNA is filed under the name uncultured organism. RNAcentral's name for it is "partial 16S ribosomal RNA". It matches the Rfam family "Bacterial small subunit ribosomal RNA", at positions 333 to 800 of the family's 1533-position model. The record is from RNAcentral.